RNAcentral lists this ribosomal RNA (546 nucleotides) under uncultured bacterium. Its description in RNAcentral is "bacterial SSU rRNA". It matches the Rfam family "Bacterial small subunit ribosomal RNA", at positions 108 to 672 of the family's 1533-position model. The record is from RNAcentral.
GAGUAAUAUAUAGNUUAAUGUGCCUCGAAGACUGGGAUAGCCACUGGAAACGGUGAUUAAUACUAGAUAGUCCUUUCUCUCAUAAGAGAGAUUGGUAAACGUUUUUUCGCUUUGAGAUCAGACUAUAUCCCAUCAGCUUGUUGGUAGUGUAAGAGACUACCAAGGCUAUGACGGGUAGCGGGUUUGAGAGGAUGAUCCGCCACACUGGUACUGAGACACGGACCAGACUCCUACGGGAGGCAGCAGUGAGGAAUAUUGCACAAUGGGGGAAACCCUGAUGCAGCAACGCCGCGUGGAGGAUGACGCAUUUCGGUGUGUAAACUCCUUUUAUAUGUCAAGAAAAUGACGGUAGCAUAUGAAUAAGCACCGGCUAACUCCGUGCCAGCAGCCGCGGUAAUACGGAGGGUGCAAGCGUUACUCGGAAUCACUGGGCGUAAAGGGCACGUAGGCGGGUUGGAAAGUCAGAUGUGAAAUCCUACAGCUUAACUGUAGAACUGCAUUUGAAACUUCUAACCUAGAGUAUGGGAGGGGGAGAUGGAAUUAGUG